Molecule: long non-coding RNA, 497 nt
Organism: Halichondria panicea
Lineage: Eukaryota; Metazoa; Porifera; Demospongiae; Suberitida; Halichondriidae
Exons: 2
Source: RefSeq, a predicted model, not a curated record
AUUCAUCACCGUCUUUCUUGAAUUUGGAUGUUUUGGUGCAAACAUAUGGAGCAGUUUAUUCCCAAAAGGGUCAACUCGUCAAUAAUGGACACUAUGUACGAAUUACUCCUUGCUUGAAUGUUGUGUACGGACUCCUGUUGACAUGUGUUACGCUGGACAAUUCAACCUACUGCAUUCUACAGGAGCUCGAGUUGCAGCAAGUUAUGGGUUUCACCGUACACAAUGAGCAAGACUGUCCCUUGUUAACUUUGACAAAAACAUUGUGUUGUUCCAUCUAGUGCUGUUAUUACACAUUAUUUCAGUGAUUUAUCAAUGUACUAGCACUUGUAACAUUACUACGCAGCCUUUCACAAUCGAACGAGAACGAGAGCAACUUAGUAAUGAAAAACUUGUUCAUUAUCAUGAUUUUUCUAAUGAUAUGUACUGUUUGAAUGUCUUCUGUAUGAAUCAGUAAUUUUUAUAAGUUAGCUAUUUUAAAUGCUGUCAACACAUCAUUG